This is a long non-coding RNA of Mercenaria mercenaria, 3208 nucleotides long. RefSeq lists it as uncharacterized. NCBI's taxonomy places the organism in Eukaryota, Metazoa, Mollusca, Bivalvia, Venerida, Veneridae. The record is from RefSeq and is a predicted model, not a curated record. The transcript has 3 exons.
CAGUGUAUGUUAAACUUUAAUUUCCAAUAGUCAUAAAUUAUAAAUGGGAAUACAUACAAAAAGAUGUUUUGUUUCAUAUAUGCCCUCCCACCAGCCAAUGAAAACAUCACAUGUAAGGAUCUUAUGAAAUAUACUAGUAGCUCUAUAUCGUAGAGAUAAAGUUAUAGUAAAGGAAAAGUUGUCUUAGGUACAAGAUAAAAUUUCUCGGAAAUUGAUGAUGGCGUUUAUUUAUUUGUGUCUUACUGUUUUGAUUUUCUGUGCGCCAGGAGUAAGGACUGGACCAAAUUCUGGAGCAAAUUUUAUUUGUGGUGAGGAGCUUUCAGCCGUUCCUGGAAUAUUAAAGACACUGACAUCACCAAAUUUCAUUCAAGAUUUGCAAAAUUACCCUCCUGAUACAAAUUGUACUUGGAUAGUUAGGUCUGUGGCACCAUGGAAUGUAGUUAUCAAAUUUGAAUUCUUUGCAGUAGAAAGGGACUUUAACUGUGACAGCUGGGACUGGGUCACAAUUGAUAACGGUGAGUUUAUCGGACAAGGCGAUUUGGGGAGAUUUUGUGGAGACAAUUUCUGUUCUGGAAACCAACCUGGCUUUUAUCCGACUGGCGAAAUUGUAAGCGACGGGAGCGUCGUGACUAUCAAUUUUUGCAGUGACUUUUUAAUUGAAAGACCUGGCUUCUUGUUAACGUACACAAGCAGUAAGUAUUGAAACCAUUGCAAUGCACUAAAGUCUGCCUUUAUGGUAGUUCUGCACGUUCGGAUCAUUUUUUUUAGAAUUUAAUUAAUCCUGAUAUUAAAAAAACUUCAAAAUGUACUCAGAAAUUUCUACAAAUAAAAUAUUAGGGUCGAGUGUUUGAUUAUUUGAUUGACUGAUUUAAAAACACUUGAACCUCAAACACAUUUUCGUAAUGGAAGUCUAAAGAAAAAUUACAAUUUUGACUGCAUUUUUCGAGAAAAGAAUUUUUUCUAUGAUAUAUAUUAAAUGAAACUUCUCGCAGCCGUAAAUAAACAUAUAGUCUGUAAUACGGUGAAAUAAAAUGUACAUAUCCGUGUAAUUGUUAUUGAGAUAUUGCCCAUGGUCCAAGAGAUCUCCACAUUUCAAGCUGAUUUCAAGACAUUAAUUUGACUUGUUUAAUGAAUCAAACAUUAAAUAUCAUAUUUAGUCUUUAAAAAGAUUGUAAAAAUUGCCGUUUUAAUAAAUUCACUCAUGGACUGCCAUUAAUUUCAUAAAAUGAAUGUCAUUUCCAUAAUUAUUCCUAAGUCCAAGUUAAUAUUCUGUGUCAACCGGAUAAAUGCCGUUACGACUUUAAUUUCUGUUUAUCAAAUGUGCAGAAAUACCUUAAAUAUGAAGAAUUACAAACAGAACAAAGUAUUAUUUCGAUAAGAAGUUUUCUUAAAGAACAUAUCAGAGACGUGCAUCUUUCUCUAAAAUGAUAUAUUUUUAGAUAGCAAUUUUAGAAGUAGAAAAUCUUCAUCAAAUAAGUUUAACUUGACUAAAUUUAUAUACUAACUGUGUUUGUAGAGCUAAAUUCACAAUAAGAUGUCAUGUAUAACAUUGAUUUAAAAAAAUACACAUUUAUUCUGUGCUUAGCUACACAUGUAUAUGGCGUGUACUAGUUUAAUGGUAUAUUCAAUCAAAUUUUCAAAUUAAAAAUACAACAUGAACAAUUACUUUAUAUAGAUUAUGUAAAACAUAAAAUUAACACGUUUAUGUAUUAUCAAUACUAUGCACAACGGACUGUGUACUUGUAUAGAUACACACAGUAUAAAUGUGUACUACCACUAAACGGCAGUUUUUAACAAUCCAUUGUUACUGCAUAACAUUAUUAAUUAAUUUAAUUAUAAAUGUAGCUGUAUAUGCAAACCUUAUUUAUAUGUUUAGUAAAGUUCAAUAAAUUUGAUAAGGAUUUUAUGCAUUCGAGGUAAAUAUCUAAUGAUAAAAUAUUUUAGUGACUAGAUAACAUUACACCUAACGCACAGUAAUGGUUAUACAAACAAACAUAUUAAUGUUUUGUUUAAAGAUACUAUACUAUCAAUGUUUAUAUUUACAAAUAUGAAGAAGUGCCACUAUAUCUUGUCUUUACAUAAGAACAACAAAUCUGUUAUAUAUACAUGUUGCGGCACAUAUGGAAGAUCGUUUUGGCGAAUAUGUAGCCUCGUUAAAUAAAGUCUUUAUUAUUAUUAUUAUUACUAUCAUUAUUGUUAUAUACAAUAAGAUGUCAUGUCUUUUUUCAUUGCGAUUCCAUGGAAGGUAAGCAAUUUGUUUUCCACAACAAAAAUAUAUAAAUAUGGCUUGUAGUUCGGCGACAACACACGUUUGAUAUAUUUAGUGUUUAUGGCGGGUAGAAUUCUGAAUUUCUUUUGAUAAGUUAUGUUUUCAUUUCCAAAUGAAUUGCAUGCAUCUUAUGUUUUGGUACUGGGAUUAUGUUGUAUAAUAUAUAUAAUGAGUUAUUUGAGUCACUUUAUUCAGUAGGCUUUCUGGACAAAUACGUUUAAGUGUGAGAAAAGGACCACAGCGCAGUUCUUACCAAUAUGCUUAGCGUCCCACACCCUAUCCGAAUCUUUUUUGGUGCACAUUUGAAGUAAUGCUUCUAGAUGCACAUUGUGGAACAAGACAUUUCAACGUUUAGCAACAUUAUCUGAGUAGUUCUCAAGAGUAAAGCUCUGCUAAAUUCCUUCCAAUUUAUUCAUUAGAUAACGUUUCACUACAUAUUAUGCAGACUAAGCUAAGAAUAAAUUUACUUGAAUCACCUUGUCAUUACUGUUACAAAGAAAUAAGCUAUUGUUGUUAUGAAAAAAGACAUUCUCUGGAGGCAUGCCCCUUGAACGCAAGAGCUCUUUAGGUUGAUAUACUAACAGAUUGAAAUGCACAUUUUCAUCAAUUAAUUAAAAGCUGCAUAAGAGAAAGAAUGAUACCUGACAUUAUUAUAAACAGUGAAAAGGACUAUUUAAGAUGUUUAAGUUUAGAUAUCCAUAUAAAGCCAAACAGCAUCAAUGUUGAUAUUGGUACGCGGCAGGUGUGUGUCUAAUGGUUACUGGGAAUUGCUCGUGCAGUGUGUUAGACUUUUUGCCUCUUACAUCCUAUAUGAUUACUGCCUACUCUCGUUGGCAAAUUGACUGUGAUUUCGAGACAACUUGUAUGAAUUCACCAAUUUGUAUUCCGUUAGGGCUUCACUGUGACUGAAUGCUAGAAACUUAGGCGACUGUGACGCUA